AGUGAACGUUGGCGGCGCGGAUUAGGCAUGCAAGUCGAGCGAGAACCGUAGCAAUACGGGGACAGCGGCGAAAGGGACAGUAAUGUGUAGGUACCUACCCCGGGGUCUGGGAUAGCUGCGGGAAACUGCAGGUAAUACCGGAUAAUGUCUUCGGACCAAAGGUGUGAUUCCACCUGGAGAGGGGCCUGCAUCCUAUUAGCUUGUUGGCGGGGUAACGGCCCACCAAGGCGACGAUGGGUAGCGGGUGUGAGAGCACGACCCGCGUCAUUGGGACUGAGACACUGCCCAGACACCUACGGGUGGCUGCAGUCGAGGAUCUUCGGCAAUGGGCGCAAGCCUGACCGAGCGACGCCGCGUGCGGGAUGAAGGCCUUCGGGUUGUAAACCGCUGUCGUAGAGGAGGAAGUGCAGGGGGGUUCUCCCCUCUGUUUGACCUAUUCUAGGAGGAAGGACGGGCUAAGUUCGUGCCAGCCGCCGCAGUAA
RNAcentral lists this ribosomal RNA (482 nucleotides) under uncultured bacterium. Its description in RNAcentral is "partial 16S ribosomal RNA". It matches the Rfam family "Bacterial small subunit ribosomal RNA", at positions 28 to 523 of the family's 1533-position model. The record is from RNAcentral.